AUUGGACGCUGGCGGCAUGCCUUACACAUGCAAGUCGAACGGCAGCAUGGAGAGCUUGCUCUCUGAUGGCGAGUGGCGAACGGGUGAGUAAUGCAUCGGAACGUACCGUGUAAUGGGGGAUAACGUAGCGAAAGUUACGCUAAUACCGCAUACGACCUGAGGGUGAAAGCAGGGGAUCGCAAGACCUUGCGUUAUACGAGCGGCCGAUGUCAGAUUAGCUAGUUGGUGAGGUAAAGGCUCUCCAAGGCGACGAUCUGUAGCGGGUCUGAGAGGAUGAUCCGCCACACUGGGACUGAGAGACGGCCCAGACUCCUACGGGAGGCAGCAGUGGGGAAUUUUGGACAAUGGGGGCAACCCUGAUCCAGCCAUGCCGCGUGAGUGAAGAAGGCCUUCGGGUUGUAAAGCUCUUUCGGCCGGGAAGAAAUCGCACAGGCUAAUACUCUGUGUGGAUGACGGUACCGGCAUAAGAAGCACCGGCUAACUACGUGCCAGCCGCCGCAGUAA
Molecule: ribosomal RNA, 504 nt
Filed under: uncultured bacterium
Lineage: Bacteria
Description: partial 16S ribosomal RNA
Rfam family: Bacterial small subunit ribosomal RNA
Source: RNAcentral